ACGGCUCAGUAACACGUGGACAAUCUGCCCUGAAGAAGAGAAUAAUCCCGGGAAACUGGGGGUAAUGCUCUAUAGUCCGGGGAAACUGGAAUGUUUCCCGGAUGAAAGAUCCGUCGCUUCAGGAUGAGUCUGCGGCCGAUUAGGUAGUUGUUGGGGUAAAAGCCCAACAAGCCCGUAAUCGGUACGGGUUGUGGGAGCAAGAGCCCGGAGAUGGAUUCUGAGACACGAAUCCAGGCCCUACGGGGCGCAGCAGGCGCGAAAACUUUACAAUGCGGGCAACCGUGAUAAGGAAACCCCGAGUGCCAGCACAGGCUGGCUGUCCACCAGUGUAAAAAACUGGUGAAGAAAGGGCCGGGCAAGACCGGUGCCAGCCGCCGCGGUAAUACCGGCGGCUCGAGUGGUGGCCGCUUUUACUGGGCUUAAAGGGUCCGUAGCUGGAUCUGCAAGUCCCUUGAGAAAUCCAUCGGCUUAACUGAUGGGCGUUCAGGGGAUACUGUGGUUCUAGGGACCGGGAGAGGUGAGAGGUACUGCCGGGGUAGGAGUGAAAUCCUGUAAUCCCGGUGGGACGACCUAUGGCGAAGGCAUCUCACCAGAACGGCUCCGACAGUGAGGGACGAAAGCUGGGGGAGCAAACCGGAUUAGAUACCCGGGUAGUCCCAGCUGUAAACGAUGCGCGUUAGGUGUGUCAGUGACCACGUGUCACUGAGGUGCCGAAGGGAAACCGUGAAACGCGCCGCCUGGGGAGUACGGUCGCAAGGCUGAAACUUAAAGGAAUUGGCGGGGGAGCAC
This 789-nucleotide ribosomal RNA is filed under the name uncultured archaeon. RNAcentral describes it as "bacterial SSU rRNA". It matches the Rfam family "Archaeal small subunit ribosomal RNA", at positions 85 to 879 of the family's 1478-position model. The record is from RNAcentral.